UCCCUAUGGGGUGCAGCAGUCGCGAAAAUUUUGCAAUACACGAAAGUGUGACAGAGCUAUCCCGAGUGCCAUCCGCUGAGGAAGGCUUUUACCCAGUAUAAAUAGCUGGGAGAAUAAGGAGAGGGCAAGUCUGGUGUCAGCCGCCGCGGUAAUACCAGCUCUCCGAGUAGUGUGGACGUUUAUUGGGCCUAAAGCAUCCGUAGCUUGCUAGAUAAGUCCCCUGUUAAAUCCACCGAUUCAAUCGUUGGAUUGCGGGGGAUACUGUUUGGCUAGGGGACGGGAGAGGUCGACGGUAUUUCCGGGGUAGGGGUGAAAUCCUAUAAUCCCGGGAAGACCACCAGUGGCGAAGGCUGUCGACUAGAACGCGCCCGACGGUGAGGGAUGAAAGCUGGGGGAGCGAACCGGAUUAGAUACCCGGGUAGUCCCAGCUGUAAACGAUGCAGGCUAGGUGUUUGGGCGGCCACGAGCCGCCCUAGUGCCGCAGGGAAGCUGUUAAGCCUGCCGCCUGGGGAGUACGGCCGCAAGGCUGAAACUUAAAGGAAUUGGCGGGGGAGCACCACAAGGGGUGAAGCUUGCGGUUUAAUUGGAUUCAACGCCGGAA
This 601-nucleotide ribosomal RNA is filed under the name uncultured archaeon. RNAcentral's name for it is "bacterial SSU rRNA". It matches the Rfam family "Archaeal small subunit ribosomal RNA", at positions 319 to 923 of the family's 1478-position model. The record is from RNAcentral.